RNAcentral lists this ribosomal RNA (792 nucleotides) under Zobellia sp. TBL_88. Its description in RNAcentral is "bacterial SSU rRNA". It matches the Rfam family "Bacterial small subunit ribosomal RNA", at positions 112 to 903 of the family's 1533-position model. Lineage: Bacteria; Pseudomonadati; Bacteroidota; Flavobacteriia; Flavobacteriales; Flavobacteriaceae. The record is from RNAcentral.
AACGCGUAUACAAUCUACCCCCUACUGUGGGAUAGCCCAGAGAAAUUUGGAUUAAGACCACAUGGUACCAUUUUACGGCAUCGUAUUAAUGGUUAAAGGUUACGGUAGGGGAUGAGUAUGCGUCCCAUUAGUUAGUUGGCGAGGUAACGGCUCACCAAGACCGCGAUGGGUAGGGGCCCUGAGAGGGGGAUCCCCCACACUGGUACUGAGACACGGACCAGACUCCUACGGGAGGCAGCAGUGAGGAAUAUUGGACAAUGGGCGGGAGCCUGAUCCAGCCAUGCCGCGUGCAGGAAGAAUGCCCUAUGGGUAGUAAACUGCUUUUAUACGGGAAGAAAAAGAGCUACGUGUAGCUUACUGACGGUACCGUAAGAAUAAGGACCGGCUAACUCCGUGCCAGCAGCCGCGGUAAUACGGAGGGUCCGAGCGUUAUCCGGAAUUAUUGGGUUUAAAGGGUCCGUAGGCGGGCCGAUAAGUCAGUGGUGAAAGUUUGCAGCUCAACUGUAAAAUUGCCUUUGAUACUGUCGGUCUUGAGUUAUAGUGAAGUUGCCGGAAUAUGUAGUGUAGCGGUGAAAUGCAUAGAUAUUACAUAGAACACCGAUUGCGAAGGCAGGUGACUAACUAUAUACUGACGCUGAUGGACGAAAGCGUGGGGAGCGAACAGGAUUAGAUACCCUGGUAGUCCACGCCGUAAACGAUGGAUACUAGCUGUCCGGGUCCUUGAGACCUGGGCGGCCAAGCGAAAGUGAUAAGUAUCCCACCUGGGGAGUACGUUCGCAAGAAUGAAACUCA